RNAcentral lists this unclassified non-coding RNA (334 nucleotides) under Hevea brasiliensis (rubber tree). The record is from RNAcentral. Lineage: Eukaryota; Viridiplantae; Streptophyta; Magnoliopsida; Malpighiales; Euphorbiaceae.
UUAGAGAAGCCGCUGACAGAGCCCUGGCCUUCGCUGCUAAGGGGAAAACAAGGUGGAGCCGUGCCAUAUUGACUAGCCGAAUCAAGCUUAAGUUCAGGAAGCAGCACAAGAGGCACAGAGUGGUGGCGGCUUCUACUACCUCGACGGUAACCGGAACUAGCCGAUCGAAGAAGCCGAGAGUUAGCGUUUUGAGGUUGAAAGGGAAGAGUUUACCAGCUGUACAAAGGAAAGUGAGUGUUCUGGGCCGGUUGGUUCCUGGUUGCCGGAAACAACCGUUGCCUGUUAUCCUAGAAGAAGCGACUGACUAUAUAGCUGCUUUGGAGAUGCAAGUUCG